AAUAAACGCUGGCGGCGUGCCUAACACAUGCAAGUCGAGCGAGAAAGCCCUUCGGGGUAAGUACAGCGGCGGACGGGUGAGCAACGCGUGAGAAUCUGCCCUUUAGUGAAGAAUACUCCCGAGAAAUCGGGCAUAAUACUGCAUAAGUCCCUGCGGGGAGAAAGAUGGCUUUAUGCUGUCGCUAGAGGAUGAGCUUGCGUACUAUUAGCUAGUUGGUAGGGUAAAGGCCUACCAAGGCGAUGAUGGUUAACCGGCCUGAGAGGGUGUACGGUCACACUGGAACUGAGACACGGUCCAGACUCCUACGGGAGGCAGCAGUGAGGAAUAUUGCGCAAUGGGCGAAAGCCUGACGCAGCGACGCCGCGUGGAGGAUGAAGGUCUUUGGAUUGUAAACUUCUGUUAAGUGGGAAGAAAAAAAUGCUUCUAAUACAAGCAUAAAAUGACGGUACCACUAGAGAAAGCACCGGCUAACUUCGUGCCAGCCGCCGCAGUAACAC
Molecule: ribosomal RNA, 497 nt
Filed under: uncultured bacterium
Lineage: Bacteria
Description: bacterial SSU rRNA
Rfam family: Bacterial small subunit ribosomal RNA
Source: RNAcentral